This is a long non-coding RNA of Girardinichthys multiradiatus, 2838 nucleotides long. RefSeq lists it as uncharacterized. NCBI's taxonomy places the organism in Eukaryota, Metazoa, Chordata, Actinopteri, Cyprinodontiformes, Goodeidae. The transcript is spliced from 2 exons. The record is from RefSeq and is a predicted model, not a curated record.
UGCAGAAAGACCCCAGGCUGGGAAUCAAACCCAGGACCUUCUUGCUGCAAGGCAACAGUGCUACCAACUGCGCCACCGUGCAGCCCUGUUGCAGCAACUGUUCAGAUUAUUUAACAUUUUUAAUCAUAGUUCUGACAGUAGUUUAGAUGAGUAGCAUUUUGUUAGCUAUUUUCUGCUGUGAAGAUCGAUACAAUCUGUCUUACUUAAAUUGCAUGUUCUCUUGUCUUGCCCAUUUUGAAGAGAGGCUAUAAGAAUUGAACCACUGUAUCAAAUCGUGUUUAUAGCGCAGGCAACAUAAAGUCAUGAGCUACUAAUUAAACUUCCCAGACUCUGAUCAACUUACAGAAGUAAAGUUUAAAUUAGAUGUUUUUUCUCCCAAAGUUUAAAAGGUUUGAUGUUUCUAAAUUCUUCAGUAAAUGUAUUCUACUUCAACAACAAUUCACUAAUUCAGGACUUGUACACGUCUUUACCUGGUGUGCCAAUAAAUAUGGCUAAUGCAGAGUACAUUCAAAAGAUAUUUGUGUAAAAAUUCUUAUUUCCUACUGCUGAAAGGUUUUAAGAAUUUUAAAGGUUAAUAAAAAUAUUCAUAUCAUACAGCCUGAACUGAAAUGCUAAAAGCUCUCAAACUGCAGACUGUUUCCACAAGGUACUCUGCUGUUUUUUUCUCUCUAAAGGGAGUGGAAGCCAGUAGGUCGGCUCUUAUCAGUUAGGACUGCAGUAGUUCAUUAUGGAUCACUAGUAAAAUAUUUGCUUUGCUUAAAGUAUAGCUUUAUAAAUGUGUAUAACCUUGGGCCAAGCACAACCAGCAAUCCCAAAGGGAUGGUUUCCCUCACCAAGGUCAAUGUUUUAAAGGAAGUGAUGAUGCCUCAUGGUAAGCAUGCAAUAGCUGACUAAGUCACUCAUAAAUCUUUAAAAUAAUGCAAAUUGUGGAGCAGUUAUUACAGCCUGAAGGAAUGAAUUGCGAGGUUAAAUUUAAUUCAAGUGCAUAUUGUGAAAUAGAUUUAUUAACUGUUCACCCACCCUGUUGUACCUAUAACUGAACCUCUUUAGUGCUUUGUUUAAUUCUUCCAAAAAUCAGAUCAAUGUACAUGUAUGUUUGUUUCUUACAUAAAAUACUUUUUUUACUUAAAAAUACAAGGGUAGUGUUUUCAUUCUCAUUUUGUUAGAAACCAUUAUCUGAAUGCAUGCUCGAUAAUUCACUCAAUUAUUAGCCUUAGGUAACACAGAAGGAACCAUUUUGUGAACUUUUUUCAACUUCCAAAUUUCUCACAGUGUGUGUGUGUGUGUGAUACCCUGUAAAUGAUUGAUCUGCUGCCUUGUCACAAAGCCUUUAGUUCCUGGUUUCCGGGCUGAACUGUUUCCUUAUUUUUUAUUACACAUAGUGAACCAAAAAUUCUCCUUUUGUGUUAAAGUCUAAUAUCAAUAGAGGAAGCCUUAAAUUCUAAUUGCUAAUCUAAAGCUGCAUCUCAAUCAGCGAGAACAUAUUUGAAAGGUUUGUUUAUUUCAUUGGCUUAAUUCAAAAAGCAAAACUCAUGUUUGUUUCUCUUAAUUUGGAUGAUUAUGUCUUAUAGCUUAUAAAAACCCCAAAUUUAGUUUGUCAGGAAACUAGUAUAUUAUAUUAGCCCAAUGAAAAAUGUUUUUUAUGCUGCUGAUUUGUCUACUGUUUUGUAUGCAGUCACUGACACCCUUUUGAAAAGGAAAUUGUUAAAGAAGAUGCCGGAAACUCAAUGGUGUAUCCAAUAAUAUUAAUGGAAAGUUAAGUGGAAGGAAAAAAGGUGCACAAGAAGCUGGAAUAAUCCCAGCCUUUUGAGGACUGUGAAGUAAUCAGAGCUUAAGCUGCAACCAUACACAGGCAUACCCAGGACAUGGACUACAACAGUUGUUUUCUUUGUGUUAAGCCACUACUGAACGGGAGACAAAGUUAGAAGCGUCUUACUUGGAAUUAGCGACUGAACUUUUACUCAGUAGUCCAAUGUCCUCUUUCCAGAUAAAGGAAAUGUUUGCAUUUAAUGUGAAAAUUGAGGUCCCAGAAUCUGGAGGAAGAGCGGAGAAGCACAGAAUCCACAUUGCUUGAGGUCCAGUUUCCACAUUGAUUUUGUGAGAACUGCUGCUGUUGGUCCACUGUGUCUUUAUCAAGUCCACAGUCAACUCAACCGUCUAUCAGGACAUUUUACAGCACUUUACUUCACCUGCCUUGCCCACUGAUGGUGGUCAGUGGGCCCGGUGGCGCCAAUUGUAUGGCCCCACUUUUGUGAGUUUGCCCCAGGGCAGCUGUGGCUACAAUGUAGCUUACCACAGUGUGUGAAUAGGUGGAUGACUGAUUGUAGUGUAAAGUGCUUUGGUGUCCUUUUGCCAUACAUUGCAGUAAGCUCACAUUUAGGCUUUUAAGAACCUGCUUUUUUCAUUUGAGGAACAUCACAAAACCUAAAUCAUGAUGUCAAGUGAAGUUGAGAUGAUAAUUUAUGCUUUCUUGGCAUAAAACCUGGCUUGUUUUCAGGUUGUCCAAAACUCUGCUGCAAGACCACCGUCUCAUUCAGAGGAACUCAUUUAACACCUGUUUAAAAAUCGCUACACAGGCUGCCAAUCAGACCUUGAGACCGAUGUUUCCAAGCUGUCCACAACAGCCGAUCUGCCUCUGGAGCCUAGUCUCUGUAAACACUUUUAAAAAAGUAUCUAAAGACAUUUUUAUUCCAUGAGUUUUUAUUAAAUGUAUUUAUGAUUGCAUCGUUUUCUGUAUUACACAUUGCUGUUUAUUUUGUUCGGUUACUCUUAUUGUGAAGUUUUUUGUUGCAUCGGUCAUUGAAAAUGUGCUAAAUAAAUUAACGUUGUGAUUUCUUA